UCCGGUUUGUCACCGGCAGUCCCAUUAGAGUGCUCAACUAAAUGUCGCAACUAAUGGCAAGGGUUGCGCUCGUUGCGGGACUUAACCCAACAUCUCACGACACGAGCUGACGACAGCCAUGCAGCACCUGUGUUAGCGCUUCCUUUCGGACACCCCGAUGUCUCCACCGGGUUCGCUACAUGUCAAGGGUAGGUAAGGUUUUUCGCGUUGCAUCGAAUUAAUCCACAUAAUCCACCGCUUGUGCGGGUCCCCGUCAAUUCCUUUGAGUUUUAAUCUUGCGACCGUACUCCCCAGGCGGUCAACUUCACGCGUUAGCUGCGUUACCGAGGAAUUGCUCCCCCGACAACUAGUUGACAUCGUUUAGGGCGUGGACUAC
Molecule: unclassified non-coding RNA, 376 nt
Filed under: uncultured Gammaproteobacteria bacterium
Lineage: Bacteria; Pseudomonadati; Pseudomonadota; Gammaproteobacteria
Description: contains 16S-23S intergenic spacer region
Source: RNAcentral